Molecule: ribosomal RNA, 359 nt
Filed under: uncultured Helotiales
Lineage: Eukaryota; Fungi; Ascomycota; Leotiomycetes; Helotiales
Description: eukaryotic LSU rRNA
Rfam family: Eukaryotic large subunit ribosomal RNA
Source: RNAcentral
UUGACCUCGGAUCAGGUAGGGAUACCCGCUGAACUUAAGCAUAUCAAUAAGCGGAGGAAAAGAAACCAACAGGGAUUGCCUCAGUAACGGCGAGUGAAGCGGCAACAGCUCAAAUUUGAAAUCUGGCUCUUUCAGGGUCCGAGUUGUAAUUUGUAGAAGAUGCUUUGGGUGUGGCUCCGGUCUAAGUUCCUUGGAACAGGACGUCAUAGAGGGUGAGAAUCCCGUAUGUGACUGGCUGCCUUCGCCUAUGUAAAGCUCUUUCGACGAGUCGAGUUGUUUGGGAAUGCAGCUCAAAUGGUGGUAAUUUCAUCUAAAGCUAAUAUUGGCCAGAGACCGAUAGCGCACAAGUAGAGUGAUCG